CUUUGAUGAAGCCAUUCUGAAAUUACAAAAACACACACACACAGACACACACAGUUUUAUGAGACACCAUAAUUUCCAUUUAAUCAAAUAUGACAAAUACAAAAACGUGUUUUUGUCUCUUAAGACGUCUUUCGUGAUAUCACACACUCCGUGCAGUAGGAGGCGCCACAUAUCGUUAACUCUGGAUUCAUACAUGCCAGGAACAGAAUAAGUGCUGCAGUUUCGGAUCCCGCGGAGACAAGGGGGAGCUCAUAACGUGAAACGAGGCAACAGAGGAAAAAAUUAAACCCGAACAUGCAGAACCAGGAUCGCAGAGUUCCGGGGUGUCAGGAAAAACCUUCAACCAAACAACUGACAGUAUGAUGAGCUGAUGGCCCAAGCUGUACACAGAAACAUAAGUAGAAGACAAGAACCUGAACUUCAUGGUCAGCAUCUAAGAGUAUCAAAACACUGCAUAACAAACACUGCACUCAAGUAAUUUACCAACCCUCACUGUAGGGAUCAUGCAGUGCAAAGCCAUAUGGAUGUGUGUGUUUGUUUGUUUGUUUUUUGUUUUUUUGUAGAUAGAUAGAUAGUUAGAUAUCUAACUAUCUAUUUUAACUUGUACAUAGUUAGGAUUUGGCUCUCAAUGCUCUAAAUUCUAAAUGAAGCCAGGCCACGAUCAGGUGGUUUUUUUCUUUUUAUUUGGGAUGCAAGGCUUUAAAAUAUUAUAAAUUUAGGCAAUUCCUCCCAUCAGAUAGCAAACUGUAGACAGUAAUACUACCGCAGCACUGAACUUCUAUAAAACACUGACUGUGACAUACUGAAUUAGAUCAGCGGCUCAGAUGCAUUUACACCAAAGUGGUGGGUGGCCCCAGAAGUUGCCUCACUCAUCCAACUGUUGACUGACCUGGAUGGGGCACACUUCUCAGCAUACAUCUGAUGCUUUCAAAUUCCAUUCAUCCAAGUGACUGUUAAGCUGUGUUAGCUGAAUGGAUUAGUAUCAUGUUUUAGCUUUCUACAGUUCUUUGUGAAUAUACAAGUGUUCUUUUAUAUUAAUUGUUCUGAUUGUUUUAUGUGAAUAUGGUAGGUAGAUCGCUUGUUUCUAAUAAUUUGUUUCCUUAAUUUAAUUUUGCAAAGUUGAAUUAAAACCUCAGAAAGACAGCCUGUUUGUGUAAAUCCAUUUGUUUCACAUUUCCAUAGCAGCUCCUGUAACCGUUUUGGGGAAUUUCAUUUUACAAGUCUUUGUUUAAUAUCCUUGAAUUAAUAUUUAGACUAGUGACAGACACACAUAUGCGAUCAUCUAUCAUCUAAUCAUGUAAUCACAAUAGAAUAAAAUAAAAUUAUUUGAAAGUCAUCUACUGACCAAAAAUG
Long non-coding RNA from Oreochromis niloticus (Nile tilapia), 1353 nucleotides. RefSeq lists it as uncharacterized. The record is from RefSeq and is a predicted model, not a curated record. The transcript is spliced from 3 exons. NCBI's taxonomy places the organism in Eukaryota, Metazoa, Chordata, Actinopteri, Cichliformes, Cichlidae.